RNAcentral lists this ribosomal RNA (402 nucleotides) under uncultured bacterium. RNAcentral's name for it is "bacterial SSU rRNA". It matches the Rfam family "Bacterial small subunit ribosomal RNA", at positions 355 to 774 of the family's 1533-position model. The record is from RNAcentral.
UCGGGAAUUUUGGGCAAUGGGCGAAAGCCUGACCCAGCAACGCCGCGUGAGGGAUGAAGUAUUUCGGUAUGUAAACCUCGAAAGAAUGGGAAGAAUAAAUGACGGUACCAUUUAUAAGCUCCGGCUCACUACGUGCCAGCAGCCGCGGUAAUACGUAGGGAGCAAGCGUGGUUCGGAUUUACUGGGCGUAAAGGGCGCGUAGGCGGCGCGGUAAGUCACUUGUGAAAUCUCUGAGCUUAACUCAGAACGGCCAAGUGAUACUGCUGUGCUAGAGUGCAGAAGAGGCAACCGGAAUUCUUGGUGUAGCGGUGAAAUGCGUAGAUAUCAAGAGGAACACCUGAGGCGAAGGCGGCUUGCUGGGCCGAAACUGACGCUGAUGCGCGAAAGCCAGGGGAGCAAACG